UCACCGCUUACGCGGGCAGUCUCAUUAGAGUCCCCGGCAUUACCCGUUGGCAACUAAUGAUAGGGGUUGCGCUCGUUGCGGGACUUAACCCAACACCUCACGGCACGAGCUGACGACGGCCAUGCAGCACCUAGUUUUAGGUCAUUGCUGACUGUCAUAUUUCUACAACAUUCCUUAACUUUCAAGCCCUGGUAAGGUUCCUCGCGUAUCAUCGAAUUAAACCACAUGCUCCUCCGCUUGUGCGGGCCCCCGUCAAUUCCUUUGAGUUUCAGCCUUGCGGCCGUACUCCCCAGGUGGAUUACUUAACGCUUUAGCUGUGACGCGUACGGUAUAUUGCACACAUCUAGUAAUCAUCGUUUAGGGCGUGGACUAC
This 373-nucleotide unclassified non-coding RNA is filed under the name uncultured Sphingobacteriales bacterium. Its description in RNAcentral is "contains 16S-23S intergenic spacer region". Lineage: Bacteria; Pseudomonadati; Bacteroidota; Sphingobacteriia; Sphingobacteriales. The record is from RNAcentral.